CUCGGUUCAAUUAUUUCCUCUUCCUUGAGGCUUUGUCUAAUUCCCUCAAUUUUUAAUUCUCACUUUAAUCUCACUUUUUAAUGCAUAUCCCCAGUGCUUAGAACAUAGUAGGAGCAUCAUAAAUGAUUGCUGAUUGAUUUAUUGCUUGACCCAAAAAUUAUUAAUCACAUUGGAUAAAGAAAAUAUCAAGAAUAAAGUGGGCAGUUGCUCAGAAGUUAGCCAGGGCACCAGCUGAUUUUUUUUCUGCCUCACAAUGUUGCUAGGAUAUCAGGAUGUCAACAGAAUGAAACGCUACCAUCAUGAGGAUAAAAAGGAAAGACCAAGAAGGGAACUGAGCUGCAGCUCAUGAAUUUAAAAAAAAUUUCAGAGGAAAGUUAACUUGUAAAACAAGCCUCAGAAUUACAAGUGGACUCAAAAUCUAAGCACUGGGUCUUCUCUUCCCAGGCAAUUGUACCAUCAAUUGGCAGACUUCCUAAGUACUAACUCUAUUGUGUUGAUAAAAGCUAUAGGAGAAAGAUGAACCAAAACAAGAAAAAACAUGUAGCAUUCUGCUAUCCUGUCCAAAUUCCUAGCAAACAAAUCCGUCCAUCUCCUCGCCAACCAGUCUCUUCCUUCUUUUUGAAUCCUGCAGUACUGAAGGGCUUGAACCCAUCACAACAACGCUACCUGAACAGCAUUGCCAAAGUUUAUGAUUCCAAGCCCCAAAGGAAGAACCUGAAAUGGCAGUAUAUUCUCAGUCUUCUCCAGAAAUAUAACCUAGGUUAUAUUUCCAAAAAGGACGCCAUGUCUUAUGUGACUGCUAUGGAUCAGUAUACUAAAAAAGGACCCGUCAAGUAUAGAAGUAAAAACUGCAAGUCUCAGAAGACCCCUACUUUCACCUCUUCAAGAAAAUCUCUGUCCUCACAUGCUUCGGACGUCUCCGGUGGCACCAGCUUCUUUAAACUGGAGAACACCCCCCACAGAACACGGGACAAAACAACUUUCAGUAGCUCCUCUUUAUUCUUCCUCUCUUCUACCUCUACUCUUCCCCCUCCCUCCGUUGCUCUUUACUUAUCUAUUUUCUCCUCGUAAGCUCCAAAUAAGCUCCCAUUGGUCACCCUUUCUUACCUCCGCCCAGGCAAGCCACUGUACACCGCCCCGAAGAUCUUGGCCUUGUGAGGAGCGCGUAUCAAGAGUAGUGCUGACCAAUCACUUACCCAGGAUCGCCUCCUUCACCUCAUGUCUUUUACAUGAUACCAGAGGUCCUCAGGUGACUACGUGCACUCCCUUAGGCUAAAGGCGGCAGGGGAGUCCGGGUCAGUCGGAACACACCCUACACCCUCAUGCCUAACCCUUGACGCAUCCAGUGACCCACAUAUACCAUGCCCUAUCGAGUCCUCUCCUCACAGAUAGCAUUCUGUAACCCCGACUUUUCCCCGCUCCACUACCCCAACCCACCAAAACUUGAAUGAGGCAAUGAGGCACAGCAAACAGAUUACUGGCAGGGGAGUCAGGAAGACCUAGCUUCUCAUCUUGCCUCUGACACCAGCUAUAGGACCUCAAGUAAGUCAAUUUACCCCUCUCAGUCUUCAUUUCCUCACCUGUAAAAUGGUGACAAUAAAAACACCAACUUCAUAAGUCA
Molecule: long non-coding RNA, 1621 nt
Organism: Phascolarctos cinereus (koala)
Lineage: Eukaryota; Metazoa; Chordata; Mammalia; Diprotodontia; Phascolarctidae
Source: Ensembl